GAGAGAACGAACAAGAGGAAAGAAAGUUCAUUUAAGUGGAGAAAGAUAUAAGAAGAUGUACUGUCCAUUCUGUGGUGCCAGCGUGACAUCUUCGCAUGGCUUUUGUGGUGUCUGUGGCAGAGACAUCACAUUUCUAAAAGAUGUGGCUAACAAAGUCCCUGAGGAGAUGCCCACCACUAGUGCGCAUCUAAGUGCACAGCCUAGCACCAGUGCAGCAGGAAGCUCAGCUGUAGAGUCCUUUCAGAAAUAUAGGGAAAUAAAAAAGAGGGAGAGACCUUUUUUACAAAGGGACGGCAUAACUCCAAAAAUAAACAGAAAUUGGUGAAGAUUUCUGUUGGAGUAAUGAGGAGGAUGGAUGGCUGCCUUAAACCUUUGAGAGGGAGGUCACUUCCCCUUAAUGUCGAACCUCAAUGGGCAUGUGAAGAACUGUUGGCUGCUGCCAUAAAAAAGCAGAAAGCCUUUAACCAGGACUUGGAAGAUGGUGCCCAUGUCUUGUUGUACCCUGAUGCGAGGGUGAUAACAAAUAUCCCCGGAACGGACACCCCUUUCACAGUACAGAUGUACAAAGAGGCCAUUGGAAAGCCCUACCAACGAAUUACGUUGUACAUCUGUACUCUUGAAGCCGUUGAAAACAGUUGUUACACUGGAACAACCUCUUCAAGUGACGAGGACAGUGUGGUUUUUGCAAAGUUGCCAUCUGGAGACAGUCUUGCUGACACCGUGACCUCUCAGGCACCCACAACCAGCGUCUGAUCGGGAUGGAGAACCAACCCCAUUCCAGGAAGAGGUCCAGUCUGCCCCGGGUCAGAACACCUUCUAUAGGUAAACGAUGUUGACAGUUGCAUCGUGACACAGUUGUUUGCAACUACACAACUGUGUAUGCACUUAUCAUUAUUGACAGCCAGUCUGAGCCAGAAGAGGAAACGGAGCAAACUGCAGAGGAAAUCACAGAAUACCUGACUGCGCCAGACAUUGUUGCAGAACUCUCUGCAAAAAUUAAAAAUACCUCUUGCAGCAGGUUCAAUAUUAAUAGAGCCAAUGUGUGGGAUGGAGCAAUCCGCGGCUUCAAAGGGGCCUCAUUCGACCCCUCUCAUCAGAUGCAGGUUAAGUUUAU
Molecule: long non-coding RNA, 1114 nt
Organism: Gymnodraco acuticeps
Lineage: Eukaryota; Metazoa; Chordata; Actinopteri; Perciformes; Bathydraconidae
Exons: 9
Source: RefSeq, a predicted model, not a curated record